RNAcentral lists this ribosomal RNA (497 nucleotides) under uncultured bacterium. RNAcentral's name for it is "partial 16S ribosomal RNA". It matches the Rfam family "Bacterial small subunit ribosomal RNA", at positions 28 to 507 of the family's 1533-position model. The record is from RNAcentral.
GAUGAACGCUGGCGGCGUGCCUAAUACAUGCAAGUCGAGCGAACCGACGAGGAGCUUGCUCCUCUGAAGUUAGCGGCGGACGGGUGAGUAACACGUGGGUAACCUACAUAUCAGCCCGAGAUCACUUCGGGAAACCGGUGCUCAUACCGGAUAAUAUCUUAAACCGCCUGGCUCAAUAGUGAACGACGGAUUUGCUGUCACUUAUAGUAGGAUCCGAGCCGCCUUAGCUAGUUGGUAAGGUAACGGCUUACCAAGUCACCGAUGCGUAGCCGAACUGAGAGAGUGAUCGGCCGCUCGGGAGCGAGGACGAGGACCAAAACCGUAAGUGAGACAGCAGUAGGGAACCUACGGGAAGGAGCAGAAGCGUGAUGGAGCAACUGCGCGUGAGUGAUGAAGGUCUACGGAGCGUAAAACACGGCGAUUAGGGGAUAACAAAUUGGUAAGGAACGAGGUGCUUCUUGACGGUACCUGAUCAGAAAGCCACGGCUAACUACGUG